AUGUGCUUAUCUCAGAGCAAAGCACCUGCAGCAAACAUUGCAGUGUGUGAUUCUUGGUGGAUUUUAAAAUGCAUCCAGGAUUUGGAGCUGACCUGGGAGGUGAGUUACUGCCUGCUUGGCCACGUGUUGGCAGGACCAUCUUCGACGUGCAGAAGACCCACCUGUGGCAGUGGCAGCAGUCCCUUUUCCUUACUGUGGUCUGUAGAAAUGCCCCAGAGUCAGGAUACCUGCUACCAUGCAGCUGGAAAUACUGUGGCAUGGAGAGAGAAGUGGAAGUGGAAAGGAGAUCAGAAAGGCUGGUUGCACACAACCUGA
Molecule: long non-coding RNA, 315 nt
Filed under: Anas platyrhynchos platyrhynchos (common mallard)
Lineage: Eukaryota; Metazoa; Chordata; Aves; Anseriformes; Anatidae
Description: lncRNA (ENSAPLG00000029380.1)
Source: RNAcentral